RNAcentral lists this ribosomal RNA (2034 nucleotides) under Klebsiella pneumoniae. RNAcentral describes it as "bacterial LSU rRNA". It matches the Rfam family "Bacterial large subunit ribosomal RNA", at positions 411 to 2432 of the family's 2925-position model. The record is from RNAcentral. Lineage: Bacteria; Pseudomonadati; Pseudomonadota; Gammaproteobacteria; Enterobacterales; Enterobacteriaceae.
AGUAGGGCGGGACACGUGGUAUCCUGUCUGAAUAUGGGGGGACCAUCCUCCAAGGCUAAAUACUCCUGACUGACCGAUAGUGAACCAGUACCGUGAGGGAAAGGCGAAAAGAACCCCGGCGAGGGGAGUGAAAAAGAACCUGAAACCGUGUACGUACAAGCAGUGGGAGCACCUUCGGGUGUGACUGCGUACCUUUUGUAUAAUGGGUCAGCGACUUAUAUUCUGUAGCAAGGUUAACCGUAUAGGGGAGCCGCAGGGAAACCGAGUCUUAACUGGGCGUUAAGUUGCAGGGUAUAGACCCGAAACCCGGUGAUCUAGCCAUGGGCAGGUUGAAGGUUGGGUAACACUAACUGGAGGACCGAACCGACUAAUGUUGAAAAAUUAGCGGAUGACUUGUGGCUGGGGGUGAAAGGCCAAUCAAACCGGGAGAUAGCUGGUUCUCCCCGAAAGCUAUUUAGGUAGCGCCUCGUGAAUUCAUCUUCGGGGGUAGAGCACUGUUUCGGCUAGGGGGUCAUCCCGACUUACCAACCCGAUGCAAACUACGAAUACCGAAGAAUGUUAUCACGGGAGACACACGGCGGGUGCUAACGUCCGUCGUGAAGAGGGAAACAACCCAGACCGCCAGCUAAGGUCCCAAAGUCAUGGUUAAGUGGGAAACGAUGUGGGAAGGCACAGACAGCCAGGAUGUUGGCUUAGAAGCAGCCAUCAUUUAAAGAAAGCGUAAUAGCUCACUGGUCGAGUCGGCCUGCGCGGAAGAUGUAACGGGGCUAAACCAUGCACCGAAGCUGCGGCAGCGACACUAUGUGUUGUUGGGUAGGGGAGCGUUCUGUAAGCCUGCGAAGGUGUGCUGUGAGGCAUGCUGGAGGUAUCAGAAGUGCGAAUGCUGACAUAAGUAACGAUAAAGCGGGUGAAAAGCCCGCUCGCCGGAAGACCAAGGGUUCCUGUCCAACGUUAAUCGGGGCAGGGUGAGUCGACCCCUAAGGCGAGGCCGAAAGGCGUAGUCGAUGGGAAACAGGUUAAUAUUCCUGUACUUGGUGUUACUGCGAAGGGGGGACGGAGAAGGCUAUGUUAGCCGGGCGACGGUUGUCCCGGUUUAAGCAUGUAGGCUGAUUGUCCAGGCAAAUCCGGAUAAUCAAGGCUGAGGUGUGAUGACGAGGCACUACGGUGCUGAAGUAACAAAUGCCCUGCUUCCAGGAAAAGCCUCUAAGCAUCAGGUAACAUCAAAUCGUACCCCAAACCGACACAGGUGGUCAGGUAGAGAAUACCAAGGCGCUUGAGAGAACUCGGGUGAAGGAACUAGGCAAAAUGGUGCCGUAACUUCGGGAGAAGGCACGCUGGUGUGUAGGUGAAGUCCCUGCGGAUGGAGCUGAGACCAGUCGAAGAUACCAGCUGGCUGCAACUGUUUAUUAAAAACACAGCACUGUGCAAACACGAAAGUGGACGUAUACGGUGUGACGCCUGCCCGGUGCCGGAAGGUUAAUUGAUGGGGUUAUCCGUAAGGAGAAGCUCUUGAUCGAAGCCCCGGUAAACGGCGGCCGUAACUAUAACGGUCCUAAGGUAGCGAAAUUCCUUGUCGGGUAAGUUCCGACCUGCACGAAUGGCGUAAUGAUGGCCAGGCUGUCUCCACCCGAGACUCAGUGAAAUUGAACUCGCUGUGAAGAUGCAGUGUACCCGCGGCAAGACGGAAAGACCCCGUGAACCUUUACUAUAGCUUGACACUGAACAUUGAGCCUUGAUGUGUAGGAUAGGUGGGAGGCUUUGAAGCGUGGACGCCAGUCUGCGUGGAGCCAACCUUGAAAUACCACCCUUUAAUGUUUGAUGUUCUAACGUUGGCCCCUGACCGGGGUUGCGGACAGUGUCUGGUGGGUAGUUUGACUGGGGCGGUCUCCUCCCAAAGCGUAACGGAGGAGCACGAAGGUUAGCUAAUCCUGGUCGGACAUCAGGAGGUUAGUGCAAUGGCAUAAGCUAGCUUGACUGCGAGCGUGACGGCGCGAGCAGGUGCGAAAGCAGGUCAUAGUGAUCCGGUGGUUCUGA